Molecule: long non-coding RNA, 3825 nt
Filed under: Lupinus angustifolius (narrow-leaved blue lupine)
Lineage: Eukaryota; Viridiplantae; Streptophyta; Magnoliopsida; Fabales; Fabaceae
Description: long non-coding RNA (LANG_LNC002103)
Source: RNAcentral
GGUUGAAUAGGUGUAGCGGUUAUCAAUCACCACUUCUUGAACCAAAACCCAACUGCUGGAAAAUAGCCCAGUUAAUCGAUUAACAACAAGGUUUAAUCGAUUAACUAUUGCACAGAACAGAAUGAUCAGACAUGUAAUUUGCACAGUAAUUAAAACAAGAUUGAAUAGAUAUGAUACAUAUAUUUUUACGCACAAUUAUUAAGUAUAUGGCAGUAAACAAAUAUCCAACUUUUCAAUUACAUGCCUCCUCUUCUGGAUCAAGGAGAUUUUCUUUCUUCACAAUAUUGAAAUAUGGAUACAAAUACCAAUUCCAAUACAAGCACAUAGGAUGCUCCCUUCUUGAAAUCUAGGACCUCUAAAUCCUUGGUUUGACUGUACCAUUCGCCUCUAAGAAAACCUUUCUCGCGAACUAGCCCCGGCCAAGAUUCUUAUCCUCAAAUCAAGACCUCCUAGCCUUGGUGAAGAACCUCAAUCUCUGUGGUGAUCUCACACCAAGAGACAAAUCCAGACUACACAAAAACACGUUAAACAACAAGGUAUACUAAGCACAAUAAUGCUUAAAAUAUGACAAGAUAAAGACUCAAAGAUUAACCCUUUUACUAACCACUUAAGCCAUCAAGAUUCAAAUGAGUUAAUCAAUAUCUGUAACACCCCGUUUUUUUGCAACUUAGAAAUUAGGACUUCAUUAUAAAAAUAUGAUGAAAAUUUAAAUAAAAUUAAAGGCAACUUGUUAGAAAAUCAGAGUGAAUUUAAAAUUUAUUUUCAUUAACAUGUUCAAGAUGCGGAAUUAUUCAAUAUUAUCAUUAUCCAAAAACUAGGUAUCACAUUCAACCUCAAAACCUUGAUUUAUAUAAUUAUCUAUUUGUUUAAAUAUGUAGCUUUACAAAAUCAUUAAAUUAAUCUUAACAUAAUGAUUAUAAAAGACAUCUUGCAUACAAAAAGGAUCACUCCUAAGUAUUUUUCAUAAAAUAUAACUUGUACAAAAAUUAGUUCAAAAGAUCAAGGGUAUUCCUAAAUCAGAGCCAAUAAUCUCAAUAUAAACAAGAUACUUAACUAUACAUCAGCUAAGUUUUUCUUCUCUAUAUUUCGAUCAAUAGAUAUCCAUAGAGCAACUGCAACAAACCUGAACAUACACAUAGUAUAGACAAAAGAAAAGACAAAGAAAAGGGAGUAAGAACCAACUACGACGACCGCAUCGUGGAAUUACAUAGAGAAAUAACAUUAAAGUGAGACACCCUAUAACAACACCAUAAUCAAACAAUGCCAAACAUAUGCAAAUGAUGCAUGAAGUUAGUGUCUUAUAUAAGAGGAUAUUCACAUCCAAAAUUAAUAUAUCUUUUAUGCAAUGCAAUAUGCAAUUCCACCAACCAAUCACCACAAAAAAUACAAUACCCGAAGGCCAAGAUCCUAGUGGAAAAGCAACCGGGAGUACAUAUAUCCUUAACAACGACAAGUAACAAUAUCAAUUAUUUUCCAAUUACCUCUAUCUGAGGUGCUUACGUGGUAAGCCCAGUCCGUUUCAGGAUUCCUCUCUACCGAUCAUGAAAUGCGCAAGGGGGUGUCAGAGANNNNNNNNNNNNNNNNNNNNNNNNNNNNNNNNNNNNNNNNNNNNNNNNNNNNNNNNNNNNNNNNNNNNNNNNNNNNNNNNNNNNNNNNNNNNNNNNNNNNCGCCCCUAUCCAAAUCCCAAUGAUAUUUCUAUCAUCGUGUCUUUCCAUUUUCUCCAACUUCAACUACAAGAAUGCAAUGUAUGCACACUAACCGAAGUUAGCUCAUUGAGUAUUUUAAUCAAGGUUUCCACUAAUUUUAAUUUCAACAAUUAUCACUUAAGUUAGUCAUCUCAGCUCCAAUGCAUCAAAAUCAUGUCAAGUCCAAUAGACGAGCUCAAGAAGCUAACUUAGUAUCCAAGAUCAAUGUGCAAAACCUUAAUUUCAAAAUUAUGUAUUUUCCAAAUCAAUAUAACAACUAACGUAUGUAUUUUCCAUUAAAUACAAUAAUCAAGUUAUAUAUUUUGAAAUCAAGACAAUAAUCAACUUAAUAAUAAUUUCCCAUAUCAAUACAACAAACACACACAUAUACAUAUAUAUAUAUAUAUAUAUAUAUAUAUUCUAUUUCAAUACAACUAUACAACAAUCAAUAACAUAACCAUUACAAUUGAGAUAUUUCUAAAUUACAACCUUAUCACAAACGUUCAGCACAUAAAACAAUUAUUAAUUUAUCACAAUACUCACAUGCAUACAAACAUGAUUAUUUAACCACCUUUCAUGAUGAUGUAAUACCAUAAGCGAGUACCUCGCGUUAUGUUAUACACAAAAAUGAAUUCAUAUACAUAUAUUUCCAGCACAAUCAAAUAUCUAAGAUUCUAUACAUUGUCAUGAAAAAGAUUAAGGACUCUUACCUGGAAACAAGUUUCCAUGGGAGUUCCUAAUCUAUAAGACUCUCCGACUUUUGAGGGAAUCGGAGAGGAAAACUUCAAUGAAAUACUCUAAGACCACAAUGGUCUUCUCCCUCACCUGGGUUUAUGUAAGCUCCUUGUCCAACAAACAAACUGGCUCUUUCGCUGUCUCCUUCAGCUUUAAAAUCUCUUCUCAUACAUAUGUCAAUAACAUUCAAUAAACAAAUCAAAUUCUACUCUAGCUACAAGUAACAACUAAUCUAGUAUUUGUCAAUAACUUACGAAAAUAACAUGCAUAAUUACACUUGUAAAAAUACAAUAAAACCAAACAUAGUAAUUUAUUUAAAUAAUGUGUACAGUAUAUAUAUAUAUAUAUAUAUGUGUGUGUGUUUAUACUUUUAGAUUCACUAUAACAGUGUCGAGGUUUGUAACUCUAAGAUUACUACUUCUAGAAAAAUUUAACUCCUACAAGGUAAUAAUCUAUACUUUCCUAUCAUUUGAGAAAUAACUAAAAUAGUUUUAUAGAUUGCAACAGAACAACUAAUUUAGUUAAUAAAACACACAUAAACUUCAAUUCUAUUCUCAUUCAAGAUAUCAUAAACUUUGAAAACUAAAUCCACACUCAAAUAUAAAUGGGUUGAUACCAUAAAGCAACAUAACAAAGCACCUUAAGUUUUGUGCAGCAAAAUAUUUUAUUUUACACUAUGUUACUAAAGAACUAUUGGAAAAUAACAUAAGUGACUUAGUGAUGGAUUAUAGGAUUUCUUAUCACCAUGAUAUGGAAACUUGGCUACAAUCAAAAUUUGUUUUCUUUUUACAAGGCUACCCAUUAAUAUGAAUACAUAUAUCAGUAAAUAUGGAUUUUGUUUUUAACAUUAUACCAGAUAAGUUUUGAAACCCCAACAUAAAAAUCAAAUUCAGAUCUGAAUAUGAAGAUGGAAAAAGUAUUAUUUAAAGUAUAAUAAACAUGUGGCAUGCAUUGUUAAAAGAAUCAUCAAAUUAACAACUAAUAGGUCCAAAUAAGUGUGAUUUUUGGGAGCAGAAAAAGUAACUUUCUUAAAAUAAAGAUCAUACAACUAAGAAAUUCCAAGGAGAAAGGCAAAAUAAUUAGAGGUUAAAUAAAAUGCAAAGAAGAUAAAAUAUAGAACACUUAUGAUGAUAAGGGCUCCCAUACCUUCUUCCAACCACUAUCACCAUAAGCAAACAAGGAUGGAGAUGCUCUACACUAUUUUCUUAUGGCUAUAAGUAUUAGAAAUAAAUUAACAGUGAAGGCUAUAUUGAUGGCGUCACAGACUUGUGAGUGCUUUGAGGCUAGGAUUAGAAUCGACAAAGAUUAGGAUUAGAAAAGGGAGAUGGGGCUAGGGUUGCGUGUAGAAGAGAAAAACUACAAAGAUAAUUUUGUGGCUAAGAUAUAGUAAACUAGGUUUCAAAC